RNAcentral lists this long non-coding RNA (2510 nucleotides) under Nicotiana benthamiana. RNAcentral's name for it is "long non-coding RNA (NBEN_LNC034780)". Lineage: Eukaryota; Viridiplantae; Streptophyta; Magnoliopsida; Solanales; Solanaceae. The record is from RNAcentral.
UUGUGUCCAGACAUUCUGCAAUAUGUGACUGAAUUGAGGAUGCUCCAUAAUGUUGGUGAAUAGUCGGAAUGGAUUUGGAUGCAACAACUUUAGAUCUCCACAUUUAAUGAGAAUGGGGGUGACCAGAUAUAGAGGGAUUCAUAUAGUCAGCUUCUAGGUGACCAAACCUUUGUAGCCAUUGGUAGUUUCCUAGAGCCCAAUCUAUCUUACUAUAUACUCUAGAUGCAUUGUCUUGUUUGUUGGACCAAGUGAAUUGCCAUCCUGUUGCUCAAAGAAACUUGAUAUGCAUUUCAAAUGGGUUAUAAACGAAAUAAGCUGGGGGGGGGGAAGGAUAUACUGACAGUUUUUUUGUGUCAAGAGGGAUCCCUAGAUACUUGAAAGGAAAUGUACCUUCUGUGAAUCCUAGGGUAUCCAGAAUCCGAGCUUUGAUAUCCUGUUUCACUCCUGCAAUAUAUAAAGCACUCUUUGACAGAUUAGCUUGAAGACCUGAAGCUUGAGAGAACUGUAGGAAAGCACCCUGCAAUAUCUGGACUGAAAUCAUGUUGCUCUAUAGAACAUCAGCAAAUCAUCAGCAAAGCAAGCAUGAGUGCAGUUUAAUUUCCUACACUUUGGAUGGAAAUUCCUGGUAUUUGGAAAAGCAAAGAAAGAGAAGGAAGACCAGUGAUGGCAACAGUAGCACAAUGAAUACAACAACAGAUUCAUCAACACCAGUAGUAGACCAAUAACAGUAGUAGGAGAAGAUUGAAAACCAAAUAGAAAGAAUCCAAGAAACCAAUGCAACAGUGUUUAAAUCCCGACAGAAAAGCCUAGCAACACCAAAUGGAUAACAAUAGCUACAGAAGAUAAAUACCACCAGAAACCCCAAGAUAUAUCAUACUAAACACCCAGCAACACUCCAGAUGUGCUCACAAUUAAGUGAAAAGUAAGGCAGAUGCAAGGACAGUAUUUCUGAUUGUAAAUACUCAAAGAAAACCCACUGAAACCUUUAAGCACAACUCAGCAUAUAUCACUCUUUCAUUCUGGAAAUUUAGUUCAGCUUUCAACCUCACUCUCUAUCUAUUUCUCUGAAAUUUUUUUUAACCUUUCUGAUUUUUCAAAUGACUUCCCUUAAAAGUGUUCUGGAAUACCUCUUAUAUAGCCAAACUGAAGUCACCUUACAGCCUGUUGAAAACCUUUUAAAAAACUGAUUAUUCCCUCUGUUUUUCCCACUUAAAUUUGUCUAGGCAUGGAACUCUUAUUUUAAAAUUUCUAGAAAUCAGAAUGUUGUGGAAGUCCUACUGUACAGCAGGUUCUACUACCAUUCUCAUGUGUAUUUCAGCUUUUUAAUAUUAAACUCAUCUAAUGGUCCAACGGAUGCUCAAUGACAGCUCACUUAGACUAAACUCUGAAAAUUUCUAUUAAAACUGCAGCUAGAUUCCAUUUCCUAAGUUCAGCUAUAACCAAUUCAAACCUAAAUUCAGCUGUAAACCAUUCAGACUUUCAUUCAAACAAUAAUUCGGACCAAAUCAGACAGUAUCAAUAAUACAAUUGGCAACAUUAAUCUAGCAAUCAAACAUAUACAACUAAUCGACGACAUUUAUCUAAUCGAUUACAACACAUAUAAUCGAUAACAAAUAAUCGACCCAAAAAUAAUGUGAUUCAUAGCAUUCGGACAAAAUAAGGGAUUAUGAAACUAAUGAUUCGAUGAUAUUAAUCGAGUCGAAUAUGUAGUUUAAAACGACCACAAUCAACAACAAACAGAUAAAACUCACCAAAUAAAAGGUCUUUGGCAGAAGAAGAACAACACUUGGCAAAAAAUUGAAAACAAAUUGAUACAAUGAAUCUAAGCAAAUAGCAGACAUAGGAACAUAAGAGAAAUAGAAGAAAAGGGAAAAUAAAUACCUCAAAAGUGAACACGUAAAAGACGAACUCGGACCAAACGAAUUUCAAACUUUUGAGGCCAAACAGGCUUUAAUCGAGUGUUCUCAACUGAGAACACAUCGACUAUAGUCCAUUGAACAACCAAAAACUCUCCAAUUCGGACAAAAUCCAGGCUCUACUUUUCUAGGGUUCUUGGGCUCGGAUUUGGGGAUCGAGUGGUUUGGUUUUGAUUCGAACCAAACCAACAAUAGUUUGGUGAUGAGGGAGGCUAGGGAAGGCUAUUGUGUAAAUUUGGGACCGAUUGGGGUUGGUUCGAGUUUUGCUCGAAUUUUCUGAAGAUUCGAGAAACUCCAGGUUCAUUCGAGGUAAGAUGAGGGUGGAUUUGGAGAGAAGGGAUUAGGGUGGUUCAGGGGUGUAAGUUUGGUGGCCGGCGGCGUUGUUGCCGCCGGGUUUCAGGGGAGAGGGUUUGAUGGAGGCUAGGGUUUCACAAGGAUGGAUUUGGUUGGUCUCUGAGGUUAGAGACGGAAGGGGAAAUGGCAAGGGGGUGGGGGUAUGGUUUUGGGUUUAUAUACGUGAUCAGGGGAUUAAUCCAGCCCGUUGGAUUAAUUGAGAUCAAUGGCCUGGAUCGAUUGAAUCAUCGAAAUGGCAUC